CGAACGGGUGAGUAACGCGUGAGGAACCUGCCUCAAAGAGGGGGACAACAGUUGGAAACGACUGCUAAUACCGCAUAAGCCCACGGCUCGGCAUCGAGCAGAGGGAAAAGGAGCAAUCCGCUUUGAGAUGGCCUCGCGUCCGAUUAGCUAGUUGGUGAGGUAACGGCCCACCAAGGCGACGAUCGGUAGCCGGACUGAGAGGUUGAACGGCCACAUUGGAACUGAGACACGGUCCAA
RNAcentral lists this ribosomal RNA (237 nucleotides) under uncultured bacterium. Its description in RNAcentral is "partial 16S ribosomal RNA". It matches the Rfam family "Bacterial small subunit ribosomal RNA", at positions 99 to 334 of the family's 1533-position model. The record is from RNAcentral.